ACGAACGCUGGCGGCGUGCUUAACACAUGCAGGUCGAACGAUGAAGAAGAGAAACGCGAACUUCGGUUCAAAUUUCACUUCGGAUUAGUGGCAGACGGGUGAGUAACGCGUGAGCAACCUACCUCUUACAAAGGGAUAGCCUCGGGAAACCGUGAUUAAUACCAUAUGACACAUUCAUAAGGCAUCUUAAGAAUGUUAAAGCUACGGCGGUAAGAGAUGGGCUCGCGUCCCAUUAGCUAGUUGGUGAGGUAACGGCCCACCAAGGCGACGAUGGGUAACCGGCCUGAGAGGGUGAACGGUCACAUUGGAACUGAGACACGGUCCAAACUCCUACGGGAGGAAGCAGUGGGGAAUAUUGCACAAUGGAGGGAACUCUGAUGCAGCGACGCCGCGUGAGCGAUGAAGGAAUUCGUUUCGUAAAGCUCUGUUCUAUGGGAAGAAAAGGACUGUACCAUAGGAGAAAGCCCCGGCUAAAUACGUG
RNAcentral lists this ribosomal RNA (481 nucleotides) under uncultured bacterium. RNAcentral's name for it is "partial 16S ribosomal RNA". It matches the Rfam family "Bacterial small subunit ribosomal RNA", at positions 29 to 507 of the family's 1533-position model. The record is from RNAcentral.